Molecule: transfer RNA, 74 nt
Filed under: Candidatus Woesearchaeota archaeon
Lineage: Archaea; Nanobdellati; Candidatus Woesearchaeota
Description: tRNA-Ile
Rfam family: tRNA
About the family: Transfer RNA (tRNA) molecules are approximately 80 nucleotides in length. Their secondary structure includes four short double-helical elements and three loops (D, anti-codon, and T loops). Further hydrogen bonds mediate the characteristic L-shaped molecular structure. tRNAs have two regions of fundamental functional importance: the anti-codon, which is responsible for specific mRNA codon recognition, and the 3' end, to which the tRNAs corresponding amino acid is attached (by aminoacyl-tRNA synthetases). tRNAs cope with the degeneracy of the genetic code in two manners: having more than one tRNA (with a specific anti-codon) for a particular amino acid; and 'wobble' base-pairing, i.e. permitting non-standard base-pairing at the 3rd anti-codon position.
Source: RNAcentral
GACCCCGUAGCUUAGUUUGGUGGAGUGCCCGACUGAUAAUCGGGCGGUCCGGAGUUCAAAUCUCCGCGGGGUCA